AUACGAAGGGUGCAAGCGUUACUCGGAAUUACUGGGCGUAAAGCGUGCGUAGGUGGUGGUUUAAGUCUGCCGUGAAAGCCCCGGACUCAACCUGGGAAUGGCGGUGGAUACUGGCGGACUAGAGUGCGGUAGAGGGUGGUGGAAUUCCCGGUGUAGCAGUGAAAUGCGUAGAGAUCGGGAGGAACAUCUGUGGCGAAGGCGGCCACCUGGACCAGCACUGACACUAAGACUCGAAAGCGUGGGGAGC
RNAcentral lists this ribosomal RNA (247 nucleotides) under uncultured bacterium. Its description in RNAcentral is "partial 16S ribosomal RNA". It matches the Rfam family "Bacterial small subunit ribosomal RNA", at positions 523 to 769 of the family's 1533-position model. The record is from RNAcentral.